This is a small nuclear RNA of Myotis lucifugus (little brown bat), 81 nucleotides long. Its record names the gene U4. It matches the Rfam family "U4 spliceosomal RNA". From Rfam's summary of the family: U4 small nuclear RNA (U4 snRNA) is a component of the major U2-dependent spliceosome. The structure of U4 snRNA from yeast and human has been reported. The record is from Ensembl. NCBI's taxonomy places the organism in Eukaryota, Metazoa, Chordata, Mammalia, Chiroptera, Vespertilionidae.
AGCUUUGCGCAGUGGCAGUAUCGUAGCCAAUGAGGUUUAUCCGAGGCACGAUUGUUGCUAAUUGAACUUUUCCCAAUACAA